This is an RNA transcript of Colossoma macropomum (tambaqui), 2451 nucleotides long. It is a transcript of the gene named mitotic arrest deficient 2 like 2, with no coding region annotated. The record is from RefSeq and is a predicted model, not a curated record. The transcript is spliced from 14 exons. NCBI's taxonomy places the organism in Eukaryota, Metazoa, Chordata, Actinopteri, Characiformes, Serrasalmidae.
AGUGGGGCUGUUGAUUUCACUUAGGAAACGAGAAGAAAAGCUUCGCAUGUCAACACAGUUGUAAACAUUAAUUGUCAGUAAACGUUCAGCGCGGUCUCUGUGUGAAAUCAUCGCUCCGUUCAGAUGUUUUCGCUGGAUUUUAUUGUAUUGAAUCAAAGCCGACUCCCGUAAAGAGACGGCGUGUUUAUUCCUGACUGAGAGGACUGAAGAGCGGGAAACGAUAAGCUAAGCUGGUUAGGUUAGCUAGGUUAGCAAAUAAGCGGCGUUCCAGUAGCAGCAGCCACAUUGUGCAUCAUCGGCUGAUUUAUUUAAUAUAUUUCUCUAUGAAAAAUCCGAACUGAACUGGUGACUCGGCUUUAUCUUGUAGUCACAGCUUAUAAAAGGGAGUGUAACCAUGCAUUUUAGCUGACAAUCAGUGUCUUACUUAAAAAAAGUUCUAGGCUUUGUAUUCCCUAUUUUUUGUAAUUUAGUGCAACGAUGACAACUCUUACAAGACAGGACCUUAAUUUUGGUCAAGUGGUGGCUGAUAUUCUCUGUGAGUUUCUGGAAGUAGCCAUCCACCUGAUCCUCUACGUUAGAGAGGUUUAUCCAUCUGGGAUCUUUCAAAAGAGGAAAAAAUACAAUGUUCCUGUGCAGAUGUCAUGUCACCCCGAGCUGAACCAGUAUAUCCAGGACACACUCCAAUGUGUUAAACCCCUUAUUGAGAAGAAUGAGGCAGAGAAAGUUGUAGUGGUAAUCAUGGAUAAAGAGCAUCACCCGGUGGAGAGAUUUGUGUUUGAGAUCUCGCAGCCUCCUCUCCUUUCAAUCAGCUCUGAGACUCUGCUUUCUCACGUAGAGCAACUGCUGCGAGCUGUAAUCCUGAAGAUCAGCGUGUGUGAUGCUGUUCUGGAUAACAACCCACCAGGGUGCACGUUUACUGUGUUAGUUUACACCAGAGAAUCUGCCACUAGAAACAUGGAGAAAGUUCAGGUGAUCAAGGACUUUCCCUGGAUUGUAGCAGAUGAGCAGGAGGUCCUCAUGCAAGAGCCCAGACUCAUCCCUCUGAAAACAAUGACCUCAGACAUUGUAAAGAUGCAGCUAUACGUUGAGGAACGUGCACAUAAAGGACCCCAAAACACAGCGUGAAAGGACUGUGCCUGCUGAAAACAUAUUUAGGCAGAUAAGCUUUGUCAAUACUUUUUUGGUCAUUUAUUCUGUAAAAAAGAAAUAAAUAUAAUCUUAAGCAAAAUACAUUUUAGUCAUUUUUUUAAAAUAAGCAACGGAAGAGCAAAAGGUACAUCUGGAGCGUUAUUUGUUAGAUCAUUUUGAAAAAACACUUCCUCUUUGUUGUCACAUUUUCCGUUUCCUUCAGAGUAAAGACGUUGUGCGACUGACUACAGGUGUUCAUACUUUGGAAUUACCACUAUGGUGGAGAAGAUUUGAUGACUUUCUGGUGAUUUCCUGAAUGGUUCAUGAUGAUGGACUGGGCAGGUCUUUAUGAGUAGAUGUGUCACUUAAGAAGCUGUUCUAUUCUAUGAGUGGUAACUGCCAUGCGAUUAUAUGAUCUCAUUGCAUGGUUAGUAUUAUUAAAACCCAUUGCCCUGAUGCUAUGCAGAGCAUGUCGUACUGCUGAGUAUAAUGUUAAUGGAGAGUGCUGCCCAAUGUGUUCUGCAGGGCAACGUGUAUAUAAACACUGCUUAGGAGAUUCCAGCACAACGUGUUUGCCUUGCAUACAGUCAACCUACACGGAGGCUCCAAAUGGACUGAUAAAGUGUCACUCCUGCUCUGUAUGUGAUGAAGGUAUUGGGUUAAGAAUAAAGCAAGAAUGUCGUUCAACUGCAGACACAGUGUGUGAGCCUCUGUCAGGAUAUUAUUGUGAAGAAACACACGGCAAGACAUGCAGAAAAGCCAGACAGCACUCCACCUGCCUUCCUGGACAAUAUAUCAACCAAACUGGUACAGCUUUUACAGAUACUGUAUGUAAAGACUGCUCAGAAGGUUCAUAUUCAGAUGGCUCUUUCACAUUCUGCAAACCACAUAGAAAGUGUGAAUCUAUGGGGCAUAUAACAACCACACCGGGAACAAAGUCAGCAGAUUCUGAAUGUACAGAUAAACGUUCUCAUUUUCUCUACUUAGUCGCUUCUUUACCUGUGUUGGUAAUAUUAGGGUUGACGUUAUGCAUAUUGUAUUUAAGAAGAAAAAGAAGGAUGGAAAUUGAAAAUUAAGCUCAUUCUCUAUCAACUCCUGCACAGAAUGAUGCACGCAGACCAUAACAUAGUUCUAAAUAGAACCAUUUCAUGCUUAAAUACUUAAAUUCUACAUAGCACCAAAAACGUUCUUCUUUUGAUACAAGACCAAGCAUACAUGCAUAUAUACAACACAAUUUCCAUUAAUCUGAAGAACAAUUUAACUAUAUAUGUAUAUAUACAGAACCAUGUGUAGAGCUUUAGAAAUGGUCAAAUUAAAACUGUG